CCAAGGAGUCUAACAUGUGCGCGAGUCGUCGGGUCUUGAACAGGCCCGCAGGCGAAAUGAAAGUGAAGGGCGACCCAGUCGUCGCCUGCGUUGGGAUCCCCGGGCGUCUGAGUCCGGGGCGCACCAACGGCCCGUCCCGUCCGCGUCGUCGGUGGGACGGAGCGAGAGCGUACACGUUGGGACCCGAAAGAUGGUGAACUAUGCCUGGGCAGGACGAGGCCAGAGGAAACUCUGGUGGAGGUCCGCAGCGAUUCUGACGUGCAAAUCGAUCGUCAGACCUGGGUAUAGGGGCGAAAGACUAAUCGAACCGUCUAGUAGCUGGUUCCCUCCGAAGUUUCCCUCAGGAUAGCUGGCGCUCGAGGGAGUCAGUCUCAUCCGGUAAAGCGAAUGAUUAGAGGCCUUGGGGCCGAAACGACCUCAACCUAUUCUCAAACUUUCAAUGGGUGAGAAGUCCGGUUUACAUGACUGAAGCCCGGACAAUUCUCAGGAUGCGAGUGCCCAGUGGGCCACUUUU
Molecule: ribosomal RNA, 514 nt
Filed under: Mesomexovis oaxaca
Lineage: Eukaryota; Metazoa; Arthropoda; Arachnida; Scorpiones; Vaejovidae
Also listed under: 1 other name
Description: eukaryotic LSU rRNA
Rfam family: Eukaryotic large subunit ribosomal RNA
Source: RNAcentral